RNAcentral lists this ribosomal RNA (820 nucleotides) under Vibrio parahaemolyticus. RNAcentral describes it as "partial 23S ribosomal RNA". It matches the Rfam family "Bacterial large subunit ribosomal RNA", at positions 87 to 960 of the family's 2925-position model. The record is from RNAcentral. Lineage: Bacteria; Pseudomonadati; Pseudomonadota; Gammaproteobacteria; Vibrionales; Vibrionaceae.
AGUAACAACCAUUUGAGUCUGGGAUUUCUGAAUGGGGAAACCCACGUGCAUAAGCACGUAUCCUUACCUGAAUACAUAGGGUAAGGAGGCGAACCGGGGGAACUGAAACAUCUAAGUACCCCGAGGAAAAGAAAUCAACCGAGAUUCCGAAAGUAGCGGCGAGCGAAAUUGGACUAGCCCUUAAGCUUUACACGCGUUAGACGAACGGUCUGGAAAGUCCGACGAUACAGGGUGAUAGUCCCGUAGUUGACGACGUGUGUUCAGUGAAAUCGAGUAGGGCGGGACACGUGAUAUCCUGUCUGAAUAUGGGGGGACCAUCCUCCAAGGCUAAAUACUACUGACUGACCGAUAGUGAACCAGUACCGUGAGGGAAAGGCGAAAAGAACCCCUGUGAGGGGAGUGAAAUAGAACCUGAAACCGUGUACGUACAAGCAGUAGGAGCAGGCUUUGUCCUGUGACUGCGUACCUUUUGUAUAAUGGGUCAGCGACUUAUAUUCAGUGGCAAGGUUAACCAUCUAGGGGAGCCGUAGGGAAACCGAGUCUUAACUGGGCGUUCAGUCUCUGGAUAUAGACCCGAAACCAGGUGAUCUAGCCAUGGGCAGGUUGAAGGUUGAGUAACAUCAACUGGAGGACCGAACCGACUAAUGUUGAAAAAUUAGCGGAUGACUUGUGGCUAGGGGUGAAAGGCCAAUCAAACCUGGAGAUAGCUGGUUCUCCCCGAAAGCUAUUUAGGUAGCGCCUCGGACGAAUACUACUGGGGGUAGAGCACUGUUAAGGCUAGGGGGUCAUCCCGACUUACCAACCCUUUGCAAACUCCGAA